RNAcentral lists this ribosomal RNA (252 nucleotides) under uncultured bacterium. Its description in RNAcentral is "partial 16S ribosomal RNA". It matches the Rfam family "Bacterial small subunit ribosomal RNA", at positions 100 to 354 of the family's 1533-position model. The record is from RNAcentral.
CGUGGUGAGUAACACGUGAGGAACCUGCCUUCCAGAGGGGGACAACAGUUGGAAACGACUGCCAAUACCGCAUGAAACAUUUGAACCGCAUGGUUUGAAUGUCAAAGAUUUAUCGCUGGAAGAUGGCCUCGCGUCUGAUUAGCUAGUAGGCGGGGUAACGGCCCACCAAGGCGACGAUCAGUAGCCGGACUGAGAGGUUGGCCGGCCACAUUGGGACUGAGACACGGCCCAGACUCCUACGGGAGGCAGCAG